GUGGGGAAUCUUGCGCAAUGGGCGAAAGCCUGACGCAGCCAUGCCGCGUGAAUGAUGAAGGUCUUAGGAUUGUAAAAUUCUUUCACCGGGGACGAUAAUGACGGUACCCGGAGAAGAAGCCCCGGCUAACUUCGUGCCAGCAGCCGCGGUAAUACGAAGGGGGCUAGCGUUGCUCGGAAUUACUGGGCGUAAAGGGCGCGUAGGCGGACAGUUUAGUCAGAGGUGAAAGCCCAGGGCUCAACCUUGGAAUUGCCUUUGAUACUGGCUGUCUUGAGUACGGGAGAGGUGAGUGGAACUCCGAGUGUAGAGGUGAAAUUCGUAGAUAUUCGGAAGAACACCAGUGGCGAAGGCGACUCACUGGCCCAUUACUGACGCUGAGGCGCGAAAGCGUGGGGAGCAAACAGGAUUAGAAACCCCGGUAGUCC
RNAcentral lists this ribosomal RNA (425 nucleotides) under uncultured bacterium. RNAcentral describes it as "bacterial SSU rRNA". It matches the Rfam family "Bacterial small subunit ribosomal RNA", at positions 354 to 796 of the family's 1533-position model. The record is from RNAcentral.